Molecule: ribosomal RNA, 301 nt
Filed under: uncultured bacterium
Lineage: Bacteria
Description: partial 16S ribosomal RNA
Rfam family: Bacterial small subunit ribosomal RNA
Source: RNAcentral
CAGCAGCCGCGGUAAAACAGAGGGUGCAAGCGUUAAUCGGAAUUACUGGGCGUAAAGCGCGCGUAGGUGGUUUGUUAAGUUGGAUGUGAAAUCCCCGGGCUCAACCUGGGAACUGCAUCCAAAACUGGCAAGCUAGAGUAUGGUAGAGGGUGGUGGAAUUUCCUGUGUAGCGGUGAAAUGCGUAGAUAUAGGAAGGAACACCAGUGGCGAAGGCGACCACCUGGACUGAUACUGACACUGAGGUGCGAAAGCGUGGGGAGCAAACAGGAUUAGAUACCCGUGUAGUCCCUGUCUCUUAUAC